UACGAAGGAUGCAAGCGUUAUCCGGAUUCAUUGGGUUUAAAGGGAGCGUAGGUGGCCUUAUAAGUCAGUGGUGAAAUCUCGCAGCUCAACUGCGAAAUUGCCAUUGAUACUGUAGGGCUUGAGUAUAGUUGCCGUUGGCGGAAUAUGACAUGUAGUGGUGAAAUACAUAGAGAUGUCAUAGAACACCGAUUGCGAAGGCAGCUAACGAAACUAUAACUGACACUGAGGCUCGAAAGUGCGGGGAUCAAACAGG
RNAcentral lists this ribosomal RNA (253 nucleotides) under uncultured bacterium. RNAcentral's name for it is "partial 16S ribosomal RNA". It matches the Rfam family "Bacterial small subunit ribosomal RNA", at positions 524 to 776 of the family's 1533-position model. The record is from RNAcentral.